GACGAACGCUGGCGGCGUGCUUAACACAUGCAAGUCGAACGGAAAGGCCCUGCUUUUGUGGGGUGCUCGAGUGGCGAACGGGUGAGUAACACGUGAGUCACCUGCCCUAGACGUUGGGAACACUUCAGGAAACUGGGGCUACUACCGGAUAGGAGCUCCUGCUGCAUGGUGGGGGUUGGAAAGUUUCGGCGGUUGGGGAUGGACUCGCGGCUGAUCAGGCUGUGGGUGGGGUAGUGGCUUACCAAGGAUGUGACCGGUAGUCGGCCUGAGAGGGUGGCCGGGCACAGUGGGAGUGAGAAGCUGGCGAGACACGUACGGGAGGGAGAAGUGGGGAAUAUGGGAACAUGGGCGGAAGCCUGAUGCAGCGACGGCGCGUGGGGGAUGACGGCCUUCGGGUGGUAAACUCCUUUCGAGCGCGAGGAAGCCACCUGGUUGGAAGGGUGGUGACGGUAGUGGGAGAAGAAGCACCGGCUAACUACGGG
This 482-nucleotide ribosomal RNA is filed under the name uncultured bacterium. RNAcentral describes it as "partial 16S ribosomal RNA". It matches the Rfam family "Bacterial small subunit ribosomal RNA", at positions 28 to 507 of the family's 1533-position model. The record is from RNAcentral.